AGAUUGAACGCUAGCGGCAUGCCUAACACAUGCAAGUCGAACGGUAACAGGCCCUUCGGGGUGCUGACGAGUGGCGGACGGGUGAGUAAUGCGUAGGAAUCUACCCACGAGUGGGGGAUAGCCCGGAGAAAUCCGGAUUAAUACCGCAUAUGCCCUACGGGGUAAAGCGGGGGAUCGUAAGACCUCGCGCUGGUGGAUGAGCCUACGUCCGAUUAGUUAGUUGGUGGGGUAAAGGCCUACCAAGGCAGUGAUCGGUAUCCGGCCUGAGAGGGCGCACGGACACACUGGAACUGAAACACGGUCCAGACUCCUACGGGAGGCAGC
This 324-nucleotide ribosomal RNA is filed under the name uncultured prokaryote. RNAcentral describes it as "bacterial SSU rRNA". It matches the Rfam family "Bacterial small subunit ribosomal RNA", at positions 26 to 352 of the family's 1533-position model. The record is from RNAcentral.